Molecule: ribosomal RNA, 527 nt
Filed under: uncultured Streptococcus sp.
Lineage: Bacteria; Bacillati; Bacillota; Bacilli; Lactobacillales; Streptococcaceae
Description: bacterial SSU rRNA
Rfam family: Bacterial small subunit ribosomal RNA
Source: RNAcentral
GACGAACGCUGGCGGCGUGCCUAAUACAUGCAAGUAGAACGCUGAAGAGAGGAGCUUGCUCUUCUUGGAUGAGUUGCGAACGGGUGAGUAACGCGUAGGUAACCUGCCUUGUAGCGGGGGAUAACUAUUGGAAACGAUAGCUAAUACCGCAUAACAAUGGAUGACACAUGUCAUUUAUUUGAAAGGGGCAAUUGCUCCACUACAAGAUGGACCUGCGUUGUAUUAGCUAGUAGGUGAGGUAACGGCUCACCUAGGCGACGAUACAUAGCCGACCUGAGAGGGUGAUCGGCCACACUGGGACUGAGACACGGCCCAGACUCCUACGGGAGGCAGCAGUAGGGAAUCUUCGGCAAUGGGGGCAACCCUGACCGAGCAACGCCGCGUGAGUGAAGAAGGUUUUCGGAUCGUAAAGCUCUGUUGUAAGUCAAGAACGAGUGUGAGAGUGGAAAGUUCACACUGUGACGGUAGCUUACCAGAAAGGGACGGCUAACUACGUGCCAGCAGCCGCGGUAAUACGUAGGUCCCGA